AGAGAGAAGCUUGCUUCUCUUGAGAGCGGCGGACGGGUGAGUAAUGCCUAGGAAUCUGCCUAGUGGUGGGGGAUAACGUUCGGAAACGGACGCUAAUACCGCAUACGUCCUACGGGAGAAAGCGGGGGAUCUUCGGACCUCGCGCCAUUAGAUGAGCCUAGGUCGGAUUAGCUAGUUGGUGAGGUAAUGGCUCACCAAGGCGACGAUCCGUAACUGGUCUGAGAGGAUGAUCAGUCACACUGGAACUGAGACACGGUCCAGACUCCUACGGGAGGCAGCAGUGGGGAAUAUUGGACAAUGGGCGAAAGCCUGAUCCAGCCAUGCCGCGUGUGUGAAGAAGGUCUUCGGAUUGUAAAGCACUUUAAGUUGGGAGGAAGGGCAGUAACCUAAUACGUUAUUGUUUUGACGUUACCGACAGAAUAAGCACCGGCUAACUUCGUGCCAGCAGCCGCGGUAAUACGAAGGGUGCAAGCGUUAAUCGGAAUUACUGGGCGUAAAGCGCGCGUAGGUGGUUCAGUAAGUUGGAAGUGAAAUCCCCGGGCUCAACCUGGGAACUGCUUUCAAAACUGCUGAGCUAGUGUACGGUAGAGGGUGGUGGAAUUUCCUGUGUAGCGGUGAAAUGCGUAGAUAUAGGAAGGAACACCAGUGGCGAAGGCGGUCUCUUGGUCCAAUACUGACACUA
Molecule: ribosomal RNA, 682 nt
Filed under: uncultured bacterium
Lineage: Bacteria
Description: bacterial SSU rRNA
Rfam family: Bacterial small subunit ribosomal RNA
Source: RNAcentral